GACGAACGCUGGCGGCGUGCUUAACACAUGCAAGUCGAACGGACAGACAGAGAGCUUGCUCUCUUGAAGUUAGUGGCGAACGGGUGAGUAACGCGUAAUCAACCUGCCCUUCAGAGGGGGAUAACAACGGGAAACCGUUGCUAAUACCGCGUACGAUUCAUGAACGGCAUCGUUUAUGAAUGAAAGGUGGCCUCUAUGUAUAAGCUAUCGCUGAAGGAGGGGAUUGCGUCUGAUUAGCUAGUUGGAGGGGUAACGGCCCGCCAAGGCAAUGAUCGGUAGCCUGUCUGAGAGGGUGAACGGCAACAUUGGGACUGAAACACGGCCCAAACUCCUACGGGAGGCAGCAGUGGGGAAUCUUCCGCAAUGGACGAAAGUCUGACGGAGCAACGCCGCGUGAGUGAUGAAGGUCUUCGGAUUGUAAAGCUCUGUUAAUCGGGACGAAAGAGUUCUGCGUGAAUAAUGCAGAAAAGUGACGGUACCGGAAUAGAAAGCCACGGCUAACUACGUGCCAGCCGCCGCCGUAA
RNAcentral lists this ribosomal RNA (524 nucleotides) under uncultured bacterium. RNAcentral describes it as "partial 16S ribosomal RNA". It matches the Rfam family "Bacterial small subunit ribosomal RNA", at positions 28 to 523 of the family's 1533-position model. The record is from RNAcentral.